RNAcentral lists this ribosomal RNA (253 nucleotides) under uncultured bacterium. RNAcentral's name for it is "partial 16S ribosomal RNA". It matches the Rfam family "Bacterial small subunit ribosomal RNA", at positions 524 to 776 of the family's 1533-position model. The record is from RNAcentral.
UACGAAGGGGGCUAGCGUUGCUCGGAAUUACUGGGCGUAAAGCGCACGUAGGCGGCUUUCUAAGUCAGGGGUGAAAUCCUGGAGCUCAACUCCAGAACUGCCUUUGAUACUGAAGAUCUUGAGUUCGGGAGAGGUGAGUGGAACUGCGAGUGUAGAGGUGAAAUUCGUAGAUAUUCGGAAGAACACCAGUGGCGAAGGCGGCUCACUGGACUGGUAUUGACGCUGAGGUGCGAAAGCGUGGGGAGCAAACAGG